AUGGUCACUCAGGGGUCACUCAGCGGUCACUCAGGGGUCACUCUGGGGUCACUCAGGGAGGUCGGUGGUCACUCAGGGGUCACUCAGGGAGGCCGAUGGUCACUCAGGGAGGCCGAUGGUCACUUGGGGUCACUCGGGCAGGUCGAUGACCAGCUCGUCGUCCCCGUCCAGGGAAGGUCGGUGGUCACUCGGUGGUCACUCAGGGAGGUCGAUGGUCACUCAGGAAGGCCGAUGGUCACUCAGCGGUCACUCAGUGGUCACUGGUCACUCGGGGUCACUCGGGGUCACUCGGGCAGGUCGAUGACCAGCUCGUCGUCCCCGUCCAGGGAAGGUCGGUGGUCACUCAGGGGUCACUCAGGGAGGUCGAUGGUCACUCAGGGAGGUCGGUAGUCACUCAGUGGUCACUCAGGGGUCACUCAGCGGUCACUGGUCACUCAGUGGUCACUCAGGGGUCACUCAGCGGUCAGUGGUCACUCGGGGUCACUCGGGGUCACUCGGGGUCACUCGGGCAGGUCGAUGACCAGCUCGUCAUCCCCGUCCAGGGAAGGUCAGUGGUCACUCAGGGAGGCCGAUGGUCACUCAGGGGUCACUCAGAGGUCACUGGUCACUCGGGGUCACUCGGGGUCACUCGGGGUCACUCGGGCAGGUCGAUGACCAGCUCGUCGUCCCCGUCCAGGGGGUCGUCGCUGCCCUCCCCCUCCCCCUCCCCGCCCCCGGGGCCGCUCAGGAGCCGCCGGGGCAGCGUGGGGGGCACGGGGGGCGGGGCCGGGGGCGGGGCCAGCGCCGGGGGGAGGGGCGAGCCGGGGCCACGCCCCCCGCCCAGCCCCGCCCCCGCCUCGCCCCCAGGGAGGGGCAGAGGGGGAGGGGCCGGAGGGGGCUGGGGGGGAAGAGAAGGGGGGGAGGGGUCAGUGAGUGACCACUGAGUGACCGCUGACCCCUCCUUGACCCCCAUGACCCCUCCCCAUUUAACCCCACCCCUUUCCCCUUUUAACCCCGCCUUUUUUCUUAAGC
Molecule: long non-coding RNA, 1011 nt
Organism: Taeniopygia guttata (zebra finch)
Lineage: Eukaryota; Metazoa; Chordata; Aves; Passeriformes; Estrildidae
Source: Ensembl